Molecule: ribosomal RNA, 252 nt
Filed under: uncultured bacterium
Lineage: Bacteria
Description: partial 16S ribosomal RNA
Rfam family: Bacterial small subunit ribosomal RNA
Source: RNAcentral
UACGUAGGUCCCGAGCGUUGUCCGGAUUUAUUGGGCGUAAAGCGAGCGCAGGUGGUUUAUUAAGUCUGGUGUAAAAGGCAGUGGCUCAACCAUUGUAUGCAUUGGAAACUGGUAGACUUGAGUGCAGGAGAGGAGAGUGGAAUUCCAUGUGUAGCGGUGAAAUGCGUAGAUAUAUGGAGGAACACCGGUGGCGAAAGCGGCUCUCUGGGCUUUAACUGACGCUGAGGCUCGAAAGCGUGGGUAGCAAACAGG